Non-coding RNA from Caenorhabditis elegans, 105 nucleotides. The record is from Ensembl. Lineage: Eukaryota; Metazoa; Nematoda; Chromadorea; Rhabditida; Rhabditidae.
AGGAAUGUCUGUGAAAAAAGGAAUGAUCGACGGCACGUUCCACAGCUAACAAGGCGUCCGUUUGUCGAAGCCACGUCAUCAGGAAUAAACGAUUUUAUCAAUCAU